RNAcentral lists this ribosomal RNA (482 nucleotides) under uncultured bacterium. RNAcentral describes it as "partial 16S ribosomal RNA". It matches the Rfam family "Bacterial small subunit ribosomal RNA", at positions 28 to 522 of the family's 1533-position model. The record is from RNAcentral.
GAUGAACGCUGGCGGCGUGCCUAAUACAUGCAAGUCGAGCGAACCACUUCGGUGGUGAGCGGCGAACGGGUGAGUAACACGUAGGUGAUCUGCCCAUCAGACGGGGACAACGAUUGGAAACGAUCGCUAAUACCGGAUAGGACGAAAGUUUAAAGGUGCUUCUGGCACCGCUGAUGGAUGAGCCUGCGGCGCAUUAGCUAGUUGGUAGGGUAAAGGCCUACCAAGGCGACGAUGCGUAGCCGACGUGAGAGGGUGAACGGCCACACUGGGACUGAGACACGGCCCAGACGCCUACGGGAGGCAGCAGUAGGGAAUCUUCGGCAAUGGGCGAAAGCCUGACCGAGCAACGCCGCGUGAAUGAUGAAGGCCUUCGGGUUGUAAAAUUCUGUUAUAAGGGAAGAACGACUUUAGUAGGAAAUGGCUAGAGUGUGACGGUACCUUAUGAGAAAGCCACGGCUAACUACGUGCCAGCCGCCGCAGUA